RNAcentral lists this ribosomal RNA (156 nucleotides) under Fusarium solani. RNAcentral's name for it is "5.8S ribosomal RNA". It matches the Rfam family "5.8S ribosomal RNA". Rfam says of the family: 5.8S ribosomal RNA (5.8S rRNA) is a component of the large subunit of the eukaryotic ribosome. Lineage: Eukaryota; Fungi; Ascomycota; Sordariomycetes; Hypocreales; Nectriaceae. The record is from RNAcentral.
AAACUUUCAACAACGGAUCUCUUGGCUCUGUUUCUUCUGAGUAAACAAGCAAAUAAAUUAAGUACUUUCAAUUGCAGAAUUCAGUGAAUCAUCGAAUCUUUGAACGCACAUUGCGCCCGCCAGUAUUCUGGCGGGCAUGCCUGUUCGAGCGUCAUU